Molecule: ribosomal RNA, 3690 nt
Filed under: Ambystoma mexicanum (axolotl)
Lineage: Eukaryota; Metazoa; Chordata; Amphibia; Caudata; Ambystomatidae
Description: eukaryotic LSU rRNA
Rfam family: Eukaryotic large subunit ribosomal RNA
Source: RNAcentral
CGGAGGAAAUAAACUAACCAGCUUCCCUCAGUAAACUAACCAGGAUUCCCUCAGUAACGGCGAGUGAAGAGGGAAGAGCCCAGCGCCGAAUCCCGUCCGGGCGGGCGGAAUGUGCGUACAGAAGACCGACUCCCCGGCGUCGCUCAGGGGCCCAAGUCCUUCUGAUCGAGGCUCACCCGUGGACGGUGUUAGGCGUUAGCGGCCCCCGGUGCGCCGGGAUCGGGUCUUCUAGGAGUCAGGUGGCUUGGCAAUGCAGCCCAAACCCGGUGGUAAACUCCAUCUAUGGCUAAAUAUGUGCACGAGACUGACAGCCAACAAGUACUGUAAGGGAAAGUUGAAAAGAACUAUGAGAGAGUUCAACUGAACGGGUAAACGGGUGGGAUCUGUGCAGUCAACCGCUGAGAGGUAAACGGGUGGGAUCUGUGCAGUCUGCCUGGAGGAUUCAACACGGCUGGCAGGUCGGUCGCCCGUAACAGCAGAUCCCCUUGCGGGGACCGCAGCCCGAAUGCACACGGGCCCCGUAGGGCACAUUUCCUCCAUGGUGGUGCAGCGCGACCGGCUCCGGGUCGCCUGGGAAGGUCCCAGGGGGCAGGUGGCUCUCCGCUCCAGCAGAGAGUAUUAUAGUCCCCUGGCAGCAGUUUCACCAUGUCCCUAGGGCCGAGGGAGAUUGACCGCUGCCGCGCCCUUCUCCAGCAACUGUCCCGGCCACUCUCGGGGGUCGCUGGGGCAGCGACGGGGGUGGACUGUCCUCAGUACACCCCGACCGCAUCACGCCGCCGGCGGAGAAGUCCACAAGGGCCCAGGGGUCUGCGUAAUGUCGUUACCCACCCGACCAUCUUGAAACACGGACCAAGGAGUCUAACACGUGCACCAGUCGGAGGCCGAACGAAACCCUGUGGCGCAAUGAAGGUGAGGGCCGGCACGCACCGGCUGAGGUGGGAUCCGUCACGGCGGCGCAUCACCACCGCCCAUCUCGACCUGCUCUGUCGGGGAGGUGGAGCAUGAGUGUCGUGUGAUAGAACCUGAAAGAUGGUGAACUAUGCCUGGCAGGGCGAAGCCAGAGGAAACUCUGGUGGAGGUCUGUAGCAUGCAAAUCGGUCGUCCAUCCUGGAUAUAGGGGCGAAAUACUAAUCGAACCAUCUAGUAGCUGGUUCCCUCCGAAGUUUCCUUCAGGAUAGCUGGCGCUCGGAAACCCCAGUUUUAUCUGGUAAAGCGAAUGAUUAGAGGUUGUGGUCGAAACGAUCUCAAGAAUUCUCAAACUUUAAAUGGGUAAGAAGCCCGGCUCGCUGGCGUGGAGCGGGGCGUCGAAUGUGAGUGCCCAUUGGGCCACUUUUGAUAAGCAGAACUGGUGCUGCUGGAUGAACCAAACGCGGGGUUAAGGCGCCCGAUGCCGACGCUCAUCAGACCCCAGAAAAGGUGUUGGUUGAUUUAUACAGCAGAACAGUGGCCAUGGAAGUCAGUAAAUCAGUAAGGAGUGUGUAACAACUCAAUAGCCAAAUCAACUAGCCCUGAAAAAGGAUGAGCGCUGGAGCGUGGGCCCAUACCCCGCUGGCGCUGAGAGCCGCGGGGGCUAAGCCGCGAUGAGUAGGAGGCCGCUGCGCACGGAAGCAUGGGGUGAGGGCCCGGUGGGCCGGCGCAAGUGCAGAUCUUGAUGGUAGUAUCAAAUAUUCAAACAAGAACUUUGAAGGUCAAAGUGGAGAAGGGUUCCAUGUGAACAGCAGUUGAACAUGGGUCAGUCGGUCCUAAGAGAUGGGCGAGCGCCAUUCGGAAGCGACAGGCGAUGGCCUCCGUUGCCCUCAGCCGAUCGAAAGGGAGUCAGGUUCAGAUCCUUGCAGCGUCCAGUAUGGUAACACAAGCGUUCCCCGAGAAGCUGGCGGGGGCCCAGGGGAGAGUUCUCUUUCUUUGUGAAGGGCAGGGCACCCUGCAAUGGUUCACCCCGAGAGAGGGGCCCAAGCCUUGGAAAGUGUUGCGGUUCUGGCAGCAUCUGGUGAGCUCUCGCUGGUCCUUGAAAUUCCAGGGUAGAUGGUGUAAAUCUCGCGCCGGGCCGUACCCAUAUCCGCAGCAGGUCUCCAAGGUGAACAGCCUCUGGCAUGUUGGAACAAUGUAGGUAAGGGAAGUCGGCAAGUCAGAUCGUAACUUCGGGAUAAGGAUUGGCUCUAAAGCUGGGUCGGUCGGGCUGGGGGCGAAGCGGGGCUGGGCGCGUGCCGCAGAUGGAUGAGGCGUCUCCCGCUGGAGGACGGCGCCAACUCGGGACACGAGUCGGCCCCUUCUUGUGGAUCGCCCCAGCAACAGUGAUCGCCUCUCUCUGUUCACCUCCCGGGGUUCGUGGGCUGGCGUUCUGCCUCGGUCGAUGCCUAGAAGCUGACUUAGAACUGGUGCGGACCAGGGGAAUCCGACGGUUUAAUUAAAACAAAGCAUCGCAAAGGCCAGCAGUGGGUGUUGAUGCAAUGUGAUUUCUGCCCAGUGCCCUGAAUGUCAAAGUGAAGAAAUUCAGUUAUAUGAUUGAUUAUUUUUGUUAUGAAGCGCAGGUAAAUGGUGGGAGUAAAUAUAACUCUAGGUAGCCAAAUACCUCAUGAUCUAUUUAGUGACGCAUGUGAAUGGUUGAACGAGAUUCCCACUGUCCCUACUUACUAUCUAGCGAAACCACAGCCAAGGGAACAUGCUUGGCAGAAUCUGCGGGGAAAGAAAACCUGGUUGAGCUUGACUCUAGUCUGGCACUGUGAAGAGACUUGAGAGGUGUGGGAUAAGUGAUAGGCCCCCGGGCUGCCAGUGAAAUACCACUACUCUUAUCGUUUUUCCACUUACUCAGUGAGGUGGGGGGCGAGACCCGUGGGGCUCUCGCUUCUGGCUCCAAGCGCCUGGCGCACACCGGGCGCGACCCACUCCAUGGACAGUGACAGGUGGGGAGUUUGACUGGAGCGGUACAUCUGUCAAACGAUAACGCAGGUGUCCUAAGGCAAGCUCAGGGAGGACAGAACUCUCCUGCAGAGCAGAAGGGCAAAAGCUUGCUUGAUCUCGAUUUUCAGUAUGAAUACAGACCGUGAAAGUGGGGCCUCACAAUUCUUCUGACUUUUUGGGUUUCAAGCAGGAGGUGUCAGAACAGUUACCACAGGCUUAACUGGCUUGUGGCGGCCAAGCGUUCAUAGCAACGUCGCUUUUUGAUCCUUCGAUGUCAGCUCUACCUAUCAUUGUGAAGCAGAAUUCACCAAGUGUUGGAUUGUUCACCCACUAAUAGGGAACGUGAGCUGGGUUUAGACCAUCAUGAGACAGGUUUGUUUUACCCUAUUGAUGAGGUGUUGUUGCAAUAGUAAUCCUGCUCAGUACAAGAGGAUCUCAGUUCAGACAUUUGGUGCGUGUGCUUGGCUGAGGAGCCAAUGGGGCAAACAUACAAUCUGUGGGAUUAUGACUGAACGCCUCUAAGUCAGAAUCCCCCUAAACCGUAACGAUACCGCAGCGCUGUGGAGCCUCGGUUGGCCUAUGAUAGCCAGCCUCUGGGCCGGUGCAUAGAGCCGCUCGCCUCGGGACUCGAGUGUGGACAGAAGGGGCCACCUCUCUCGCCUGUAGUACACUGCCUGUUCCUUGGGAACCUGGUGCUAAAUCAAUCAUAGAUGACCUGAUUCUGGGUCAGGGUUUCAUAAGUAGCGCUCGUAGUGGCCGGCCCGGGGUUCCACAGUGUUUGUGGGGUAGUCC